AUUUUAUCGAGUUUGGCUAUGAUUUUGGUAUAAUUUUAAGAGGCUUUUUGUUAUUUUUAGAAUUUUUUUCAGGUUUUUACACGUUUAAAAUGUAUUUGAAGAUUAUAGAGCAUUUUGGAGAAAAAACAAGAAGUUAUGCUGCAAAAGCAAUCUGAAGACCAAAAUUGGUGUAGAU
RNAcentral lists this small RNA (175 nucleotides) under Arabidopsis thaliana (thale cress). RNAcentral describes it as "ATSL281940". Lineage: Eukaryota; Viridiplantae; Streptophyta; Magnoliopsida; Brassicales; Brassicaceae. The record is from RNAcentral.